AUUGAUAGCUGUUAAAAUGGAAGAUGCUUUGGGAUUUAUUUU
This 42-nucleotide small RNA is filed under the name Arabidopsis thaliana (thale cress). Its description in RNAcentral is "ATSL025170". Lineage: Eukaryota; Viridiplantae; Streptophyta; Magnoliopsida; Brassicales; Brassicaceae. The record is from RNAcentral.